AGUUCUGUAGUGUAGUGGUUAUCAUGUCUGCUUUACAUGCAUGAAGGUCUUGGGUUCAAGGCCCAGUGCAACUA
RNAcentral lists this transfer RNA (74 nucleotides) under Mesocricetus auratus (golden hamster). It matches the Rfam family "tRNA". From Rfam's summary of the family: Transfer RNA (tRNA) molecules are approximately 80 nucleotides in length. Their secondary structure includes four short double-helical elements and three loops (D, anti-codon, and T loops). Further hydrogen bonds mediate the characteristic L-shaped molecular structure. tRNAs have two regions of fundamental functional importance: the anti-codon, which is responsible for specific mRNA codon recognition, and the 3' end, to which the tRNAs corresponding amino acid is attached (by aminoacyl-tRNA synthetases). tRNAs cope with the degeneracy of the genetic code in two manners: having more than one tRNA (with a specific anti-codon) for a particular amino acid; and 'wobble' base-pairing, i.e. permitting non-standard base-pairing at the 3rd anti-codon position. The record is from Rfam by way of RNAcentral. Lineage: Eukaryota; Metazoa; Chordata; Mammalia; Rodentia; Cricetidae.